UACAUAAACCAUACCUACUCGAAUUUCCUCAAAAAGAAGAAAAUAAUUCUUGUGUGUGUUUUCAACUAUGUCCAAAAGUAUUCAGAUUAAUGGCAUGUGGAGUAAACUCUCCCACACCCUAGAAAACCACAAAAACACCUGCAAAGAAUUGGCCAUCAUUAAUCAUAGGCUAGUGAAGCAAAUCCAGUAACUAUGAGACAAAAGCAACUCACUUAGCCAUGUUUUAUGUCAUUUUCCUGCUCAUUAUUUUCCUGUCAAAUUCAAAACCCUCACCCAUCCAAUGUAAAAACUGGUGGAAGCCUUUCUCCCUUUCCAUUUUUGAUUGCACUUACAUUUGGUGCCAACUUCAUAUCAACCGUACUUAAAAGCAUCCACAUAAAGAAUGCUCUAGAUAUGAACUGGAUCGACCAAGGGCUGAGCAUUCAAAAGAUGGCUAACCUAGAGCGAGCAGCAAAAAUCGAAGCAGAAUUCAUGGACCAUCAAAGGAGCUGCAACCCCGUUGUCAAAGUUGAACCACACUCCGCGAGUUCAGAUGCAGACACUUCAGACCAGAAAGAGAACUAUGUUCAAUUGCACCAUGUUAAAAGUCAUGUUGCUUACUCAUAUACUGAUACAGAUGCGGAAAGUUCAGUCAGUACGAUUGAGGAUUUGCCUAGACACACUCAUCCCUGCAGCAACAAAACGUGGAUAGCAUUACUGUCUUUCAACAGUAUGCAAAAGCUGGAACAACUGUUUCCUUCUUGCUAGCCUACACAGUUCUGGUAUUGUAUGGAUGCCGCUCUUCUGUUUGUGAUGGUAACGCAUAGUAGUUGGACACACAAGUGAACUGGUAAAGCUCCCGUUAAUUCCUGAAUUAUUAACAAAUACUCGAAAUAAUUAGAGCCACAAGGAUUAUCCUAACCACCAUACAUCUAGAGCUUCUUGAUAUGUGUUUGUGUGUGGUUUUUUUUUUCCAAUGCUAAAAGAUAAGAAAAUCACGCAAUUAAUGGAACCUCUGUAUAUAUGCUAACAAAUAUAAAGAGUCUAGUAAUUAGGUUAACAAAAAUGGACUUUCUCUGUUCCACAGUUGAUACUUACUAUUUAGAAUCAAAAAUUGAAUGGUUGAAUGGAAAAGUGCUACUGGGGGUUUUAUAUGAAAUGGAGAAGUUGCUACCGGGGUGUUAUGUGAAAUGGAGAAGUUGCUACUGGGGUGUUAUUUGAAACGGAAAAGUGCUACCUCUUAAAUCUUAUCUAACCAAGUAGCCGCUUCAUAUUAAGCCAUAAGUGCUUGGUCAUCUUAACGACACCAAAUGUUUAAGUUGGUGAUUAUGAUUCAGCUACUUAAAAUCUCCAUGCUCUCAGCACAAGUCAAGAACUUUCAUUCUCAUAAACUGGGUUAAAAAGAACAAAAUAAUAUCAAUAUCAAUAUUAUAGUGAGGAAAGCUUAUAUUAUGUAUGAAAUGCAGAUUUACAGAAAGGGAUGAUUGCCAGAUCAAAGGUUUUUACCUUGCCUAUCAUCUGAAGAGUUGUCAGUGGGUGCACUGUUCUCAACAUGAACAAAUGUUUGAAUAGUAGUUUUAGAUUCCUUAAGUUUUGAUAUUUUAUGUACAUAGAUCUAUUAGAUUGUACAAUCACUUGAAAGUUUGGGAUGCAUUUCAGAACACAGACAUGAAUGUAAAUUAUUGUUGGCUAUCGCGCAGCAAGAUUGUCAGUAUUUUGAUGAUUUCGGGAAUUUUGCGGAUAUGUAACAUGAGAUAAAAUAUGCUUCAACAAGCAGUCAAAUUUGAUCAACAGAUGGAGAUUAAACAUGCUCCAACACAGAGUCAGAAUAGAUAGAAAUGAGAGAUAAAUUAUACAAAGCUAUACACUUUCUUAAUCAAAAAAAGAAAAUUUAAGUACAGCAAAACUGAAGGACAUUAUUCAACUUUCUCAUUUCCCCUUUUUUUUUUUCUCUUGCGUCUUGAGGAGGAGGAAAGAAAUGAUAGUAAUUUUAGCACAUAAGAGUCUAACAGUGGCUGCUAGGGAGUGAUAAUCACUACUGCAUUUCAGCAACAACCAUUUAACGUUCCUAUUAAGUGCUCACACUUCCAACAUAUAGCUAAAAUUUCUCUGACACUUCUCAACAACAUCCAUUUAUGUCUAAAUAUUCUUGUUUUCAAGUCAGACACACAUUAAAUUAAGUGGAAGAGAAUAUUUGGAAAAUAAUGCCAAAGAAUUUGCGACCAAUUAACAGAUGCAGACAAAAUAUUACCUCCAUUAGGCAUGGAUUCCCCCAGUCAGGAGAUAAAAAGAAUAAUUGUAGCUGAAAAUGGAAGGAUCCAAUAGUCUCAUAGACCACCAAUUAGUGUAUCAGUAGGAGAACAACACACGUCAAAAGAAGAAAAGUGUGUGCACCGCUUCCUGCAAAAUGAACAUGAGACCGUGUGAAAUUCAGCUAGUGUACCAUUAGAAGAUAUUUGCAGAAAUGAGUGAGUCCUAUUGAGGAAAAUGCAGCAUCAGGUACAGUACAGUGAAAAGAGACGUGUGCAAGGAUUCUUUUGAUGAGCUAGUAGAAUAUUAAUAGCUCAUUGUGAAUUGAAACCAUUAUUUAAAAAAUAAAUGCAAAUUUGAAUCCAUUAGACUUGUAAACAGCUGCAAUAUUCAAUGAUUUUUUUUAUAACCGUGUUGUCUGGGGCCAUCUUGCACGCACCUCAAUUCUACAAGGUCCCUACUACCUCCCAAAACUUUGCUCAGUUAUUGAAAGUUCACACUUGUACAGUAGUUACACUUCUUAAGCUGAAAGGUAUCAUAGUCAAAUAUCAAUUCUCCAGGUAGCGUCCGAUUGCUGCUAGCUGAUUUUCUCAGCAAGAAUAUAAGAAUAAAAAAACAUAGCACACGCACAAGAUGUUACAUCAGCACAUUUUUUUAUAUAUAAAUCCAUUCUUCUCUUUCUAAUAUAUAUUAUCUCAUAAUUUGAUAUACUGAAUACGACUAAAAGAAUAAUAUUUGUAUGUAUUAGUUGUAGUUAAAUUAAGUUAAAAAGCACUCAAUCUCACCUUUAUAUAAGAAUCUUAUAUAAAGGUGAGAUUGAGUGCUUCAACACUCUUACCCCUCCACAUUUCUGAGACAGUUCACAAGAAAAACCAGAGAAAUCAGGAUUGCUGAAUCUUACCUGGAUAAGCAAAGAAAUCCCUCUGUUAAUUUAAGUUAGAUGUGCAAAUCCUCCAAUCGGAGAUUCCACCUUAGAAGCAACUCUAAGGACCGCAGCUUAGAUAAUCUAUCUGGAAGUAGCUUGCAAAGAAAGUGGUUGUAACAGAGAUAUUCACCUGAGCACGGUAAAUUAACUUUCUACAUAAACCAUACCUACUCGAAUUUCCUCAAAAAGAAGAAAAUAUUUCUUGUGUGUAUUUUCAACUAUGUCCAAAAGUAUUCAGAUUAAUGGCAUGUGGAGUAAACUCUCCCACACCCUAGAAAACCACAAAAACACCUGCAAAGAAUUGGCCGUCAUCAAUCAUAGGCUAGUGAAGCAAAUCCAGUACUAUGAGACAAAAGCAACUCACUUAGCCAUGUUUUAUGUCAUUUUCCUGCUCAUUAUUUUCCUGUCAAAUUCAAAACCCUCACCCGUCCAAUGUAAAAACUGGUGGAAGCCUUUCUCCCUUUCCAUUUUGGUUGCACUUACAUUUGGUGCCAACUUCAUAUCAACCGUACUUAAAAGCAUCCACAUAAAGAAUGCUCUAGAUAUGAACUGGAUCGACCAAGGGCUGAGCAUUCAAAAGAUG
This 3737-nucleotide long non-coding RNA is filed under the name Solanum tuberosum (potato). RNAcentral's name for it is "long non-coding RNA (STUB_LNC008345)". The record is from RNAcentral. Lineage: Eukaryota; Viridiplantae; Streptophyta; Magnoliopsida; Solanales; Solanaceae.